UACGUAGGGGGCAAGCGUUAUCCGGAUUUACUGGGUGUAAAGGGAGCGUAGACGGCAGUGCAAGUCUGGAGUGAAAGGCGGGGGCUCAACCCCCGGACUGCUCUGGAAACUGUACGGCUGGAGUGCAGGUGAGGUAAGUGGAAUUCCUAGUGUAGCGGUGAAAUGCGUAGAUAUUAGGAGGAACACCAGUGGCGAAGGCGGCUUACUGGACUGUAACUGACGUUGAGGCUCGAAAGCGUGGGGAGCAAACAGG
This 253-nucleotide ribosomal RNA is filed under the name uncultured bacterium. RNAcentral describes it as "partial 16S ribosomal RNA". It matches the Rfam family "Bacterial small subunit ribosomal RNA", at positions 524 to 776 of the family's 1533-position model. The record is from RNAcentral.